Molecule: long non-coding RNA, 9358 nt
Filed under: Homo sapiens (human)
Lineage: Eukaryota; Metazoa; Chordata; Mammalia; Primates; Hominidae
Description: non-protein coding lnc-IER3-15:16
Source: RNAcentral
GACACACAAGGAAUGGAGAGGAAAGAAUGCCAUCAGAAGAAUAUCUUCAGAGAAUUGCACAAUAAAGAGUAAUGUUAUGAAGAAGACUUGAGCAGGCAGUCCAGAGCUGAUACAGCUGCUCCAAUCACCAGAGAUGCAAUCUCCUGCUAGAUGUCUUCACAUCUACCUUUCUAUGUCACAUGUGCAAGAUGGUUGCUCUGCCUUCAGACAUCACAUUUACAUUCCAGGCAGAAAGGAGAAGGAAAGAGCAAAAGAUGUGUUCCGAACAAAUCCAUCUUAAAAACAAACAAGGGGAGGGGUAGCAGGAGAAAAUUUAAAAAGAAGAAGAAGAAAAACAAAAACAGGAAAGCCGUUGUUUCCCUAAAAGCCCCAUCAAGCCGACUUCUACCGGUGACUCAUUACCCAGUCAUGUGGCCACCCCUGGAUUCAAGGCAGUCUGAGGAGGUGAGUGUUUCAAAGAGGCACAUGGAUGCCACAGACAAAAUCAAGUUUCCAUGGUUGAAGGAGAAGAGGACGAUAGAGUUUGGGGAGGCAGCAGGCUACGUCUGCCACAGAAGAUAUAAAGAUAUGGAGCCACACGAGAAGAUGGGGGAGGCUGCCAAAAAAGUCCACUGGGUACAGGUGAGGAGCAGGUGACAUUGGAGUUGCUCCAUCUGAGGAGCCCGCACCUGCAAUGGCUUGUGCUCCUGCUCCUGUGGGUAUAGGCACAAGGCUGAUGCCGAGAGAGUGAGUUGUUUCUGUUGGGGUUCAGAACACAAUACCCCAAAGUAUGGCGAUGAGUACUUAACUAAAGGACAUUGGAAGGCCUCAGAAGCAGCCUCAGAUCCAAGGUCCCUCUGACCUGCUCCUGCCCUCCUGUCUCUCUCGUCCCUCGUUCUCCCCUGAAGUGAGUCAUAGAAACCAGAAUCCUCUUCCCCACGGUAGGUCCUAGAAACUAGAACCCUUUUUCCCCGAAGCAAAAGCCAUAAAAACUGGAAUUAUUACUCUAAACUCUCCUUGACUUUUUGUCCAGAAGAUGGCCAUAAAGAAAUUCUCAGCUAGGUGUGGUGGCUCGUAUCUGUAAUCCCAGCACUUUGAGAGGCCAAGGUGGGAGGAUCACUUGAGGCCAGGAGUUUGAGAUCGGCCUGGGCAACAUAGUAAGACCCCCAUCUCUACAAAACUUUUUUUUUUAAACUUACCUAAGCGUGGUGGUACACCUGUAGUCUCAGCUACUUAGGAGGCUGAGGUGGGAGGGACCCUGCUCUGGCUGUGACUGCUUUAUCACAGGGAGUGCCUAUCUGUGGGCUGCUUUCUACACAUUAAAGCAUUUUCAGAAAGGGCCAACAUCAGCCUUGGAAAAAAGGAGGAAGAGCCACGGAGAGUCUCCCUUUAUCUUCCCCUUAUGUGAUGUGAGAGUGCACAUGACUGUGUGCACAUACACACACACACACACACCACACACACACACCCCACAGGCACACAGGGUCAAGAACAUGCUGGGCAGAGCUUAAGCCACUGAAUGUUUCAGUAGGAAUCAUGAUAUCUAAAAAUAGGACAGCUGAUAAGGGGGUUCUUACUACUCACAGUUCCUGGAAUUAUAUGCAAUUGCAUCUUGGAAACUCAACAAAUAAACAGUUAGUAUGGAAUUAAGGAAUUAAGUUUGGUGAAGUUCAAAGAAGCUGAUGUUACUCACAAGAGUAAAUAGAGAGGAAACCGGGCGUGGUGGCUUCACGCCUGUAAUUCUAGCACUUUGGGAGGCCAAGACGAGCAGAUCACUUGAGGUAGAGAGUUUGAGACCAGCCUGGCCAACAUGAUGAAACCCUGUUCUCUACUAAAAAUACAAAAAUUAGCUGGGUGUGGUGGCAGGCACCUGCAAUCCCAGCUACAUGGGAGGCUGAGGCAGGAGAAUCGCUUGAACCCAGGAGACAGGGGUUGCAGUGAGCCAAGAUCACACCACUGCACUCCAGCCUGGGCGACAGAGCAAGACUCCCUCUCAGGAAAGAAAAAAAAAAAAAAAGUAAAUAGAGAGGAAAGCACAGGCCAGGGUAAAGAGCUCCAUGUAGGGCUGGGCGCGGUGGCUCACGCCUGCGGUCCCAGCACUUUGGGAGGCCGAGGCGGGCGGAUCACAAGGUCAUGAGAUCGAGACCAUCCUAGCUAACAUGGUGAAACCCCGUCUCUACUAAAAAUACAAAAAUUAGCCGGGGGUGGUGGGCGCCUGUAGUCCCAGCUACUCGGGAGGCUGAGGCAGGAGAAUGGUGUGAAUCCAGGAGGUGGAGCUUGCAGUGAGCCGAGAUCACACCACUGCACUCCAACUUGGGCAACAGAGUAAGACUCCACCUCAAAAAAAAAAAAAAAAAGAGCUCCAUGUAUGAUUCGUGUAUAAUGCUGCGGGCAUUUGGAGUGCAGCCAACAGCCCCCUUGCAGAGACCCAGUGUUCAUUGUCCCUUCCUUCUUCUAGCAGAACCCCAAUUUUAUUUUGUUUAGCAAAGUUCUAUGCUUUAAAUUUUUUUUUGCCUCAAACUGCCAUGCAGGUAGGAGUGGUGGUGUGGCAUAGGGCUGGCCAAUGAGAUGUUAGCCUAAGUCAUGUAAAGGGGACUUUCAGAAAAGUUCUUUUCUAGGACUGACUCAACUGGCAUGGGCCCCCUUUGCCUUUUACUCUCCCACUUCCUCCAGCCUGAAACAAAACCAUGAUGGUCUGAACUCCAGCCAUCAACUGGAGAGCACUUAAUCACUUUUUCAGUAAAUACAUGCCAGGCCCUGUUUUCAGUUCUAGGAACUUACCAUAAAGAAAACAGAUAAAAAUCUCUGGCUUCAAGGAGCUUACAGUCUAGUGAGAGGAAACAAAUUAUAAGCAAACAAAUAUAUAGUAUUUCAGAAUAUGGUAAGUGUUAAGGAAAAUAAAUUAAGAAAUGAGAUUCUUAUUAUCUUUAGGGACACUCUCACUCCAUCUCCUUCUGUUGCCCACACUAGAGUGCAGUGGUGCGAUCAUAGCUCACUGUAACCUCAAACACCUGGGCUCAAGUGAUCCUCCUGCCACAGCCUCCUGAGUAGCUGGGACUACAGGUGUAUACCACUACAUCUGGCUAAUUUUUUUUUUAUUUUUUAUUUUUGUAGAGACGGAGUCUUGCUACAUUCCCCAGGCUGGUCUCAAGCUCCUGGCCUCAAGUGAUCUUCCUAUCCUAACCUCACAAGGGGCUGGGAUUAUAGGUGUGAGCCACCACACCACCCAGAAAUGAGAUUCUUUUUAUUUUUGUUUGUUUGUUUGUUUGUUUUGAGACAGAGUCUCACUCUGUCACCCAGGCUGGAGUGCAGGGGCACAUUCUCGGCUCACUGCAGCCUCCACCUCCAGGUUCAAGUGAUUUUCGUGCCUCAGCCUCCCAAGUAGCUGGAGUUACAGGAAUAUGCCACUACACCCAGCUAUUUUUUUUUUUUUUUUUUUUUUUAGUAGAGACAGGAUUUCACUAUGUUGGCCGGGCUAGUCUCAAACUCCUGACCUCAAGUGAUCUGCCAGCCUUGGCUUCCCAAAGUGUAGGGAUUAUAGGCGUGAGCCACUGCACCCCGCCCAGAAAUGAGAUUCCUGAUGCUCGAUCAAGUCAGGGUGGUGGCUCAGAAGGCUGGAUGGACCUGGGGGUUGUAAAGGUAGCCAGGGUUUGUUUUAAUCAGGUGUGGCAAGACGUGCAGACACAGGAAUCACUUUCAUGGAGGAAGACAUUUACUCACAGUUCCCUAGAAACAUGCAUGAGGCAUGGCAUGGCGUGCAGGGGUGCCCCAUGGGGAAGCACCUGAGUCAGUCAGGAGGCAGUGGGAGUGAAAGGAAAAUGUGGGCAAGAGCCUUUAUUGUGGUUUCACAGGCAGGAGUGUGCAGGCAGGUAAGCAAGUUCAGGCUCGGCUAGUUUGAAUAAUUUCAGCAGCCUCUGGGGCAUAGGGGCUGUCCCUAGCUCUCUAGUACUGGUCCUGGGCUGACUAGGGGAAUUGCAGCUAGGAGUGGCAGAGCCUGAUGAAGGUGGUGGUUGGGAGGAUGGGGUCUAGCUUGGUUGAUCUACAUAUGACAGGCGAGUUCUUUGCUUCUAGGAAUUAGCUCAACCUGGGAGAGGCAGUCACUCCAGGGUCAGCAAGACCCCACGAUGUGGAAGUAUCAGAAUAUAGAAACUAGAAAACAUGGUUAAUUACACUAGGUUCUUGCCAAUAUUGCUAUGCUAUUAGGAUCCCUGCUCUCACCUCUAGAUUUAUUCUAAAUGCAGAAAAAUUAAACUCUCAAUUUUUUAUGCCACUGUUUUUCAGGUUUCUAUUACUGGUUAGGUGAAUGCCAGGCCUGUACUGAUAAUGAUCCUAAAGAAGACUCCUCUUUCAUACGGCCUAGUAACCGAUUCUCAGAUCUUAUCCAUAUAAAUAGGCUGUUAGUCAAACAAGAAAAAUAGCAAGAUAAGUAACAGAUCCUUCACAGAGUAACUACUCUCAUCUAUGUGCGUGCACACACACACAAACACACACACUAGUGCGAAAAUAAAAUGAUUUUUCACAGACUUUUUCUGAAGAUUGAAGAUUUCAAAACAGUCUGAAAAAAAGUUUCAAAAGUGGUCCUGAAGUUAGCUUUACAUCAAUGCAUUAAAUAUUAACUUUUUUUUUUUUUUGAGAUGGAGUCUCACUCCGUCACCCAGGCUGGAGUGCAGUGAUGCCAUCUCGGCUCACUGCAACUCCUGUCUCCCGGGUUCAAGUGAUUCUGCUGCCUCAGCCUCCCAAGUAGCUAGGAUUACAGGCAUGCACCACCAUGCCUGGCUAAUAUUUUUGUAUUUUUAGUAGAGAUGGUGUUUCACCAUGUUGGCCAGGCUGGUCUCGAACUCCUGACCUCAAGUGAUCCACCCGCUUUGGCCUCCCAAAGUGCUGGGAUUACAGGCGUGAGCCACUGUGCCCGGCCUAAAUAUUAACCUUAUAUGAACAAAAAGAGAAACGAGGAUAUAUGGAGAGAGUAAAAGAGAAGUGAGGCACGGUGAGAAAUUGGGAAGGGAGACCUGAGCCUUUGUCUAUAGCGAAGGUUGAAAAUUCAGCCACCUGCAGGGGCAAAGCAGAAAAUGCAAAUGAGGUAGCAGGCUUGGGAUAAGAAAGACCUGGCUCUUGUUCUCUGUUUUCCCUUUUUUCAGUAAAGAUAUAGGUAGAAACUAAAAUUUGUCUGCUAGAGGAAAAAAUAACUACUCAAGCUAAAUAAUAAAUGCCAAUUGGCACUUUCCCUCAGUGUUAAGGAGGCCAGGAGGCAUGGAGUGGGCACUGGUGAACAGAGUGGGGCAGCCACCGCCCAGCUCCAUCAACUGUUACUAGCAAUCGGUGUAGGUCGCAUGAUGCCAGAUAGCCUGAUUUUUUUUUAAGCUGUAAAACUGGGAUUUCUGUUUAGAGACCGGGUCUCACCCCAGUCUGGAGUGCAAUGGCACUAUCAUAAAACACUGCAGCCUGGAACUCCUGGGCUGAAACAAUCCUCCCUCCUCAGCCUCUCAAAUUAAAUUGUAGGUGUGAACCACCACACCCAGCUGAUUUUUAUUAUUUUUUGUAAAGACAGGGUCUCACUGUGUUGCCCAUGUUGCCCAGGAUAAAAUCUGGAUUUUUAUGUGAAAUCUCCAAUUCUUAAUUGUUGAGAUUGAAGACUUUUUUUCUUCUUUUUUUUUGGAGCCAGGGUCUUGCUCUGUCACCCAAGCUGGAGUGCAGUAGCACAAUCAAAGUUUUCUACAGCCUUGACCUCCUGGGCUCAAGCAGUCCUCCCAGCUCAGCCUCCCCAGAAGCUGACUACAGACUACAGGUGUGUAGCAUCAUGCCUGGCUAAUUUUUGUAUUUUUUAUAAAGACGGGGUCCUACUGUGUUGCCCAGGCUGGUCCCAAACUCCUGGGCUCAAGCAAUCCUCCCAACUCGGCCUCCCAAAGUGCUGGAGUUACACGCAUGAGCCACUGCUCCCAGUUCCUGAAGACAAUAUUUUGGAUAAACGUUCUCUUAGCAAAUUAUAUGUUUCUGCAGAGCAGAUACUCAGGCAGUAGGCCAUCGGUUUGCACUUCUAUUAUGCUGAACAAAUGAGAUAGGAAGCUGUUGCAAAGAAAGGAAGGGGAAAAGCAAGGGGCUAGCUGACAGUAAGAAAGACUGGGAGACGGACAAGGAGAGACCCAAGGUGAUGGGAUGAAAAAAGAAGAAAAAAAAAUAUUGAUGAAUGCGAUUGAGAAGAGAUUGGGGGCCGGAUGCAGUGGCUCACGCCUAUAAUCCCAGCAGGCGUGAGGCCAAGGCAGGCGGAUCACCUGGGGUCAGGAAUUCGAGACCAGCCUGGCCAACAUGGCAAAACCCCAUCUCUACUAAAAAUAGAAAAAAAAAGCCAGGCAUGGUGGCAUGUGCCUGUAGUCCCAGCUACUUGGGAGGCUGAGGCACGAGAAUCACUUGAACCCGGACGGCGGCGGAGGUUGCAGUGAGCGGAGAUUACGCCACUGCACUCCAGCCUGGGUGAUAGAGUGAGACUCCAUCUCAAUUAAAAAAAGAAGAAGAGAUUGAGAAAGAAUGAAGAAGAGAGGAAGAAAACACUGGGGCUCAGAAAACAAUACCCCAAAGUGUGGCACUUUGGCAUGCUGAAUACUUUGAACUAAAGGACAUUGGGAAGACUCAGAAGCAGCCUCGAAACCAAGAUCCCUCUGACCUUCUGCCCCUCCUGUCUCUCGCCCCUCAUUCUCUCCUGAAGUGAGCCACAGAAGCCAGAAUUAGUCCUCCCUAAGGUCAUAGAAACCAGAACCCCUGUUCCCCAAAGCCAGCCAUAAAAACUAGAAUUAUUUCUUCUACUGCUUCCUAAGACAUGACCAUAAAUAAAUAGUCUGACCUACGCUUGUCUAAUGGUGGGCCAUAAUGAGAGGUGACAGCGUGCUGGCAGUCCUCAGAGCCCUCGCUUGCUCUUGCCACCUCCUCUACCUGGGCUCCCACUUUGGCGGCAUUUGACGAGCCCUUCAGCCCACCACUGCACUGUGGGAACCCCUUUCUGGGCUGGCCAAGGCUGGAGCCCACUCCCUCAGCUUGCAGGGAGGUGUGGAGGGAGAGGUGCGAGCGGGAACCGGGGCUGCGAGCGGCGCUUGGGCGCCAGCGGGAGUUCCGGGUGGGCGUGGGCUUGGAGGGCCCCGCACUCAGAGCAGCCGGCCAGCCCUGCCGGCCCCGGGCAAUGAGGGACUUAGCACCCGGGCCAGUGGCUGCAGAGGGUGUACUGGGUCGCCCAGCAGUGCCAGCCCACCGGCGGUGCGCUCGAUUUCUCACCGAGCCUUAGCUGCCUUCCCGCGGGGCAGGGCUCGGGACCUGCAGCCCGCCAUGCCUGAGCCUCCCACCCACUCAAAGGGCUCCUGUGCGGCCCGAGCCUCCCCGACGAGCACCACCCCCUGCUCCACGACGCCCAGUCCCAUCGACCACCCAAGGGCUGAGGAGUGCAAGCACACGGCACAGGACUGGCAGGCAGCUCCACCUGCAGCCCCAGUGUGGGGUCCACUAGGUGAAGCCAGCUGGGCUCCUGAGUCUGGUGAGGAUGUGGAGAGUCUUUAUGUCUAGCUCAGGGAUUGUAAAUACACCAAUCAGCACCCUGUGUUUAGCUCAAGGCUUGUGAGUGCACCAGUCCACACUCUGUAUCUAGUUGCUCUGGUGGAGCCUUGGAGAACCUGUGUGUCCAAACUCUGUAUCUAACUAAUCUGAUGGGGACGUGGAGAACCUUUGUAUCUAGCGCAAGGAUUGUAAACGCACCAAUCAGCACCCUGACAAAACAGGCCACUCGGCUCUACCAAUCAGCAGGAUGUGGGUGGGGCCAGAUAAGAGAAUAAAAGCAGGCUGCCCGAACCAGCAUUGGCAACCCGCUUGGGUCCCUUUCCAGACUGUGGAAGGUUUGUUCUUUUGCUCUUUGCAAUAAGUCUUGCUGCUGUUCACUUUUUUGGGUCCAUGCUGCUUUUAUAAGUUGUAACACUUACUGCGAAGAUCUGCAGCUUCACUCCUGAGCCAGCAAGACCAUGAACCUACCAGAAGGAAGAAACUCCGAACACAUCUGAACAUCAGAAAGGACAGACUCCAGAAGCGCCACCUUAAGGGCUAUAACACUCACCGCGAGGGUCUGUGGCUUCGUUCUUGAAGUCAGUGAAACCAAGAACCCACCAUUUCUGGACACAAUAAGAUCCUCAUUCCAGAGGGGUCCAGUCCCAUACCUGGCUGGCAGAAAUGCUACAACAUAGAGGCCGAGAAGAAUCCGGACAGACAGGCAUUGCUGGAUUCCUCCAGGAGAUCAUACCCUUUCUGUCCCAUAAUGCUUCCACAUGACCAUCCAUUCUUCAUCAACUCUAAGCAUAAAAAAUGAGAAUUUUCCCUGUGGGUCUUAAUUCUUUUCUUUUUCCUUUUUUUUUUUUUUUUUUUUUGAGACGGAGUCUUGCUCUGUCGCCCAGGCUGCAGUGUGGCAGUGUGAUCUCAGCUCACUGCAACCUCUGCCUCCUGUGUUCAAGCAAUUCUCCUGCCUCAGCCUCAUGAGUAGCUGGGACUACAGGUGCAUGCCACCACACCCAGCUAAAUUUUUUUUUUUUUUAGUAGAGACAGGAUCUUACCAUAUUGGACAGGCUGGUCUUGAACUCCUGACCUCAAGUGAUCUGCCCACCUCGGCCUCCCAAACUGCUGGGAUUACAGGCAUGAGCCGCCACAUCCGGCCCCUGUGGGUCUUCAUUCUAAAGGCCACCGUGACACAUAAAACUUGGAUUCAAUAAAUGUUUUUCUCUCAUUAACCUGUCUUUUGUUAGAGGACCGUGGCCGAGACUUUCAUGAUGGAGAGAAAAGGUAUCACAGAAAAGGUAUGCCCUUUUCUGCUUCUAAAAGGGCAAGGAAGAUGGAGAAGAAAGUGAGAAAAAGGAGAUUUGAAGAGAGAGGAGGAAGUGGGCUGCUAUAGGUAGAGGGUGGAGAUUUAAAGUCAUUCUACAGAAAGAGACAGGAAUAUGCAGGCACUGUGGAGAGAACAGUGGCUCUAUAUGGUGAAAGGGAAGCCCACAAGUUUUCCAGCCUUUGGGAUUCUGUGCUAUUAUAAUUUAUAUAUAGGUUUUAGUCCAUGGUUCCUGGCUUAUAAUUCCCAUUGCCCUUGUUACCAUCUGUUGUUGUAAUGUUGGGUGCUUUAAGCCUCAGAAGCAGGUCUCAAUAAACGGAAUCUCUCUGACCUUCUCCUGCCCUCAUUUCAUCUGCUCCUUUAUCUCUCCAAGGCAGGAAUCUUUGCCCAUCUUUCUGUCUUUGACCUACCUUGUCUGACUAUAGGUCAUAAGACUCCCAUUUCAGAAAGGAUGCCCCAUAUCCUGGAGGAAGAAAGGCUGCACAGAGAGGCCAAGAAGAAUCUGGACAGGACUCACUGGGUUUCCCCAGUCUGUCU